AGUCCUGUAGCUCAGCGGUUAGAGCACUCGCCUCAAAAGCGAGAGACCUGGGUUCAAUUCCUGGCAAGGGCGA
Callorhinchus milii (elephant shark) is the source of this 73-nucleotide non-coding RNA. NCBI's taxonomy places the organism in Eukaryota, Metazoa, Chordata, Chondrichthyes, Chimaeriformes, Callorhinchidae. The record is from the annotation of a RefSeq genome assembly.